RNAcentral lists this ribosomal RNA (460 nucleotides) under uncultured bacterium. RNAcentral's name for it is "partial 16S ribosomal RNA". It matches the Rfam family "Bacterial small subunit ribosomal RNA", at positions 338 to 795 of the family's 1533-position model. The record is from RNAcentral.
CCUACGGGAGGCAGCAGUGAGGAAUAUUGGUCAAUGGACGAGAGUCUGAACCAGCCAAGUAGCGUGAAGGAUGACUGCUCUAUGGGUUGUAAACUUCUUUUAUAUGGGAAUAAAAUGUUCCACGUGUGGGAUUUUGUAUGUACCAUAUGAAUAAGGAUCGGCUAACUCCGUGCCAGCAGCCGCUGUAAUACGGAGGAUCCGAGCGUUAUCCGGAUUUAUUGGGUUUAAAGGGAGCGUAGGUGGUUUGUUAAGUCAGUUGUGAAAGUUUGCGGCUCAACCGUAAAAUUGCAGUUGAAACUGGCAGACUUGAGUACAGUAGAGGUGGGCGGAAUUCGUGGUGUAGCGGUGAAAUGCUUAGAUAUCACGAAGAACUCCGAUUGCGAAGGCAGCUCACUGGACUGCAACUGACACUGAGGCUCGAAAGUGUGGGUAUCAAACAGGAUUAGAUACCCCAGUAGUC